Molecule: long non-coding RNA, 156 nt
Organism: Gambusia affinis (western mosquitofish)
Lineage: Eukaryota; Metazoa; Chordata; Actinopteri; Cyprinodontiformes; Poeciliidae
Exons: 2
Source: RefSeq, a predicted model, not a curated record
UAUGCCUCUCACCUGGCAGAGCAGGCUGGACGUUGGAAAGACCCAACUCACAGAACAGUGUUUCAUCCAAACUUUUCAGGUUGGGUCUCGAACAACAUGGGGUGGAGUUUACUCGGACAAAGUCUUCCACGAACAAAGAUUUUGCAGCUAUGGCAG